This 468-nucleotide ribosomal RNA is filed under the name uncultured bacterium. RNAcentral describes it as "partial 16S ribosomal RNA". It matches the Rfam family "Bacterial small subunit ribosomal RNA", at positions 28 to 507 of the family's 1533-position model. The record is from RNAcentral.
GACGAACGCUGGCGGCGUGCUUAACACAUGCAAGUCGAACGGACAGGCCCUGCUCUUGUGGGGUGCUCGAGUGGCGAACGGGUGAGUAAAACGUGAGUAACCUGCCCUUGUCUUUGGGAUAACUUCUGGAAACUGGGGCUAAUACCGGAUAGGAGCUCCUGAUGCAUGGUGGGGGUUGGAAAGUUUCGGCGGUUGGGGAUGGACUAGCGGCUUAUCAGCUUGUUGGUGGGGUAGUGGCUUACAAAGGCUUCGACGGGUAGCCGGCCUGAGAGGGGGACCGGCCACAAUGGGACUGAGAGACGGACCAGACGCCUACGGGAGGCAGCAGUGGGGAAUAUUGCACAAUGGGCGGAAGCCUGAGGCAGCAACGCCGCGUGCGGGAUGACGGCCUUCGGGUUAUAAACCGCUUUCUCCUGUGACGAAGCGUGAGUGACGGUAAUGGGUAAAGAAGCACCGGCUAACUACGUG